GAUGAACGCUGGCGGCGUGCUUAACACAUGCAAGUCGAACGAAGCACUUUAUUUGAUUUCCUUCGGGACUGAUUAUUUUGUGACUGAGUGGCGGACGGGUGAGUAACGCGUGGGUAACCUGCCUUGUACAGGGGGAUAACAGUUGGAAACGGCUGCUAAUACCGCAUAAGCGCACAGCAUCGCAUGAUGCAGUGUGAAAAACUCCGGUGGUAUAAGAUGGACCCGCGUUGGAUUAGCUAGUUGGUGAGGUAACGGCCCACCAAGGCGACGAUCCAUAGCCGACCUGAGAGGGUGACCGGCCACAUUGGGACUGAGACACGGUCCAAACUCCUACGGGAGGCAGCAGUGGGGAAUAUUGCACAAUGGGCGAAAGCCUGAUGCAGCGACGCCGCGUGAGCGAAGAAGUAUUUCGGUAUGUAAAGCUCUAUCGGCAGGGAAGAUAAUGACGGUACCUGACUAAGAAGCACCGGCUAAAUACGUG
This 481-nucleotide ribosomal RNA is filed under the name uncultured bacterium. RNAcentral's name for it is "partial 16S ribosomal RNA". It matches the Rfam family "Bacterial small subunit ribosomal RNA", at positions 28 to 507 of the family's 1533-position model. The record is from RNAcentral.